AAAUUCCAUGCUUUGUGAGGUAAAUAAAUGGGUAGCAGUCCACAUUUACUUGCUACCAUUCUGUCUGGUGUACUGGUAAUAUCUGGACUGGUUUAAUGGCUUGUUUCAUGGGAGAAGCGCUAAACUUUACCUCAACAUUUAUGUAAAGUUAAAGCUGCACAGCUUCCAAUUUUUGUCUUUUGAGAUGGUUGCUCUUGGAACACAGAAAUAUGCUUUAAGAUGUCAAGCCUCCUCUGCUGAUGCUGUAUGGAGAACAGACAAGCUUUCCCAUCAAGCCCUAACCAAACUGCAGAACUGUGAAUAAAAUCAAUAAUUGUUAUGAAAAGGCACUAAGCUUUGCAGAGGUUAUUUAUGUGGCAAUGGAGCAUAAGACAGAUACCAUAAUAUUGGCUUUG
Molecule: long non-coding RNA, 395 nt
Filed under: Homo sapiens (human)
Lineage: Eukaryota; Metazoa; Chordata; Mammalia; Primates; Hominidae
Description: HSALNT0321281
Source: RNAcentral